UUGAGCUGUAUGAUGGGAAACUAUCACGUACAGUUCUUAGGAGGGAAUCGGGCAGCAAUGCCCGUGACCUAUCCGGU
This is a non-coding RNA of Candidatus Scalindua brodae, 77 nucleotides long. NCBI's taxonomy places the organism in Bacteria, Pseudomonadati, Planctomycetota, Candidatus Brocadiia, Candidatus Brocadiales, Candidatus Scalinduaceae. The record is from Rfam.